RNAcentral lists this ribosomal RNA (423 nucleotides) under uncultured bacterium. RNAcentral's name for it is "bacterial SSU rRNA". It matches the Rfam family "Bacterial small subunit ribosomal RNA", at positions 207 to 622 of the family's 1533-position model. The record is from RNAcentral.
AAGACCUUGCACUUUUGGAGCGGCCGAUGUCUGAUUAGCUAGUUGGUGGGGUAAAGGCCUACCAAGGCAUCGAUCAGUAGCUGGUCUGAGAGGACGACCAGCCACACUGGGACUGAGACACGGCCCAGACUCCUACGGGAGGCAGCAGUGGGGAAUUUUGGACAAUGGGCGCAAGCCUGAUCCAGCCAUGCCGCGUGAGUGAAGAAGGCCUUCGGGUUGUAAAGCUCUUUCAGUCGGGAAGAAAAGGUUGCGACUAAUAAUCGUGAUCAAUGACGGUACCGAAAGAAGAAGUACCGGCUAACUACGUGCCAGCAGCCGCGGUAAUACGUAGGGUGCGAGCGUUAAUCGGAAUUACUGGGCGUAAAGGGUGCGCAGGCGGUUUUGUAAGUCAGAUGUGAAAUCCCCGGGCUUAACCUGGGAACU